This 1077-nucleotide long non-coding RNA is filed under the name Felis catus (domestic cat). RNAcentral describes it as "lncRNA (ENSFCAG00000053280.1)". The record is from RNAcentral. Lineage: Eukaryota; Metazoa; Chordata; Mammalia; Carnivora; Felidae.
AUUCACGCAGAGCACUCAGGCCGCUGCCCGGCCCACAGCAAGCCUCCGCUAGGACUCUGCCCUCCAAGAGACUCUGCCCUUGUCUCUGCCUUCCCCUGCGGGGGGGGGUGCCCGUGGCUCCCCUCCGCCACCUGCCUCCUCCCUCCCCGGGUCAGAGCCCACUGCCCACCCCCCCCCCCCCCCCCCCCCCCCCAGCUCCGUGCUCCCAGCCUUGGGUUGUGCUCUGCGUGGCGUGGCGGCCCUGACAGCUGGCUGGGGGUCUGUUUUAUUUCUGUGCCUGCCCCUCCCCCUCGCCCCUCUGAAAAAGCAGUUACACUUGUGUUUCCCAGAGAAGGCGGCCCUAAUCUGUUGUUUGCCCAUCUUACCCUGUGGAGCUGCCCUGCUUUGCUUAGGCUGGGCCCGGAGAUUUGCAUAAUCAGUAGAAAUGCAUCUAGGAAGAGGGGGGGAGGGGGUGUGGGUGUCAGGCCGGCAAAUGGGGAGCACACCUCUGGGGGGGCCCCUGAUGGACCUGGGAGGGUCGCUGGGUGGGCGGGAGAUCCCUUUGCUGGGUCUUGUCUUCCUGUCCCUACUGGGCAGGACGGGUCUCCUCUGUCUCUGACCCGGCUUGGUCCGUCCCCAAGGGCCAAGCCAAGGCUCAGAGGGGCUGCAGCUGUCUGCCGAUCACCCCCCUCUCUGCAUACGGCUUUCAGUGGCUCCCCAGUACCGCGGUACCAUGUUCCCACCUCAUCCUGUCCUUCCCCCCCCCACCCCGAGUCCUUCCAAGAGGCCAGCACAGCAGAAUGGAACGCACGCUUGGGAUCCCAACUCCCGGGUGCGCCACGGUCCCCUUUACGUUUCCCCAAAGCUGACCUGGAGACAGGGACUUGGGUGCGGGUAGUUUGUCUGGGAGGGGGUUUCAGGAGGCUCAGCGAGGCCCGGGAAGAGAGAAAAGUCUACCAAAGACGCGUCAAGUGGUGGGUCAUAGCUGAGGGCAGCUGGGCUCAAACUCUCUGGAGACCCUCUGAGAGCCGCACAGAACGUGCCUUAGAAUUGUCCCACUCCAGGUUGAGGAAGCUGGCCUGCUUGUCCGUGGGGUAG